CGUUACGCGGGUAUGUGUACAGGGUUGGAAGAUGACGAGAAACAGGUAUCUGGGUUUAAUAUUUGUAUUGGUAUAUUUAUAUAUGUAUUAUUUCUAUGAUUAUUUAUCAAAAAAAAUAUACAUGUAGUUAUAACAGUCGCCUGUUGCCUGUAAAACAAGCAUUGUGGGUUGUCUGGAAGAGAUCACUAUCUAGUGAUAAGACCGCCCGUUGCAUGCGACG
RNAcentral lists this unclassified non-coding RNA (220 nucleotides) under Melitaea cinxia (Glanville fritillary). Its description in RNAcentral is "misc RNA ENSMCXG00005012900.1". The record is from RNAcentral. Lineage: Eukaryota; Metazoa; Arthropoda; Insecta; Lepidoptera; Nymphalidae.